CAAAAGGCAUCCAUAUUAGUUAGAGUGGGGUAAUUCUAUAUAAAUGGUUUGUUCUCAAGCCUUCUGGCCAAUGUGGGACAAAGGAAUUCUAACACUCCCCCGCACGUAAGACCCCAUUUUAUAGGUCACACGUGAAGUUCCACACAUCGGCAACCACGUGGAGCCAAGCCGGGGCUCACCUGUUCACGCUGGGCCAAUGCACGUGGCAUCUCUUGGCUUACGUGGAGCCAAGUCGGGGCUCACCCAUUUGCGCAGGGCCAAAGGGGACCCACCCGUUCACGUGGAUGUAUGGACCCGUCCCCUGGCUCUGAUACCAUCUU
Molecule: long non-coding RNA, 320 nt
Filed under: Malus domestica (apple)
Lineage: Eukaryota; Viridiplantae; Streptophyta; Magnoliopsida; Rosales; Rosaceae
Description: long non-coding RNA (MDOM_LNC006970)
Source: RNAcentral